Molecule: ribosomal RNA, 301 nt
Filed under: uncultured bacterium
Lineage: Bacteria
Description: partial 16S ribosomal RNA
Rfam family: Bacterial small subunit ribosomal RNA
Source: RNAcentral
CAGUAGCCACGGUAAUACGUAGGUGGCAAGCGUUGUCCGGAAUUAUUGGGCGUAAAGGGCUCGCAGGCGGUUUCUUAAGUCUGAUGUGAAAGCCCCCGGCUCAACCGGGGAGGGUCAUUGGAAACUGGGAAACUUGAGUGCAGAAGAGGAGAGUGGAAUUCCACGUGUAGCGGUGAAACGCGUAGAGAUGUGGAGGAACACCAGUGGCGAAGGCGACUCUCUGGUCUGUAACUGACGCUGAGGAGCGAAAGCGUGGGGAGCGAACAGGAUUAGAUACCCCAGUAGUCCAUGUCUCUUAUAC